CCUACGGGAGGCUGCAGUGGGGAAUAUUGCACAAUGGGGGAAAGCCUGAUGCAGCAACGCCGCGUGAGCGAUGAAGGCCUUCGGGUCGUAAAGCUCUGUCCUCAGGGAAGAUAAUGACGGUACUUGAGGAGGAAGCCCCGGCUAACUACGUGCCAGCAGCCGCGGUAAUACGUCGGGGGCUAGCGUUAUCCGGAUUUACUGGGCGUAAGGGGGGCGUAGGGGGUUUCUUAAGUCAGAGUUGAACGGCGACGGCUCAACCGAAAUAAGCCUGUGUAACUGGGGAGCUUGAGUGCAGGAGAGGAGGGUGGAAUUCCUAGGGUAGCGGUGAAAUGCGUAGAUAUUAGGAGGAACACCAGUUGCGAAGGCGGCUCGCUGGACUGUAACUGACACUGAGGCACGAAAGCGUGGGGAGCAAACAGGAUUAGAUACCCGGGUAGUC
This 439-nucleotide ribosomal RNA is filed under the name uncultured bacterium. RNAcentral's name for it is "partial 16S ribosomal RNA". It matches the Rfam family "Bacterial small subunit ribosomal RNA", at positions 338 to 795 of the family's 1533-position model. The record is from RNAcentral.